UACGGAGGAUGCGAGCGUCAUCCGGAUUUAUUGGGUUUAAAGGGUGCGUAGGCGGACGCUUAAGUCAGCGGUAAAAUUGCGGGGCUCAACCUCGUCGAGCCGUUGAAACUGGGUGCCUUGAGUGGGCGAGAAGUACGCGGAAUGCGUGGUGUAGCGGUGAAAUGCAUAGAUAUCACGCAGAACUCCGAUUGCGAAGGCAGCGUACCGGCGCCCAACUGACGCUGAAGCACGAAAGCAUGGGUAGCGAACAGG
This 252-nucleotide ribosomal RNA is filed under the name uncultured bacterium. Its description in RNAcentral is "partial 16S ribosomal RNA". It matches the Rfam family "Bacterial small subunit ribosomal RNA", at positions 524 to 776 of the family's 1533-position model. The record is from RNAcentral.